This 69-nucleotide transfer RNA is filed under the name Rattus norvegicus (Norway rat). It matches the Rfam family "tRNA". Rfam says of the family: Transfer RNA (tRNA) molecules are approximately 80 nucleotides in length. Their secondary structure includes four short double-helical elements and three loops (D, anti-codon, and T loops). The record is from Rfam by way of RNAcentral. Lineage: Eukaryota; Metazoa; Chordata; Mammalia; Rodentia; Muridae.
GGGGAUUUAGCUCAGUGGUAGAGCGCUUGCCUACCAAUCACAAGGCCCUGGGUUCGGUCCCCAGCUCCG